GUCUGUCACCUGUUCUUAGCAAACUCUUGGAAAAAAUUGUAUUUGACCAGAUACAGUGCUACUUCUCUGGUAGGUCACUCAACAUGCACUGCACUUACACAAAUGACUGAUGAUUGGUUGAAAGAAAUUGAUCAGAAGAAUAUUGUGGGAGCAGUACUGCCAGACUUCAGUGCUGCCUUUGAUGUCAUUGAUCACAAAUUAUUAUUGAAAAAACUUGUAUGUUAUGGUUUUGCUCCAUCUGCUUUAUCAUGGAUAGAAAAUUAUCUAUCCUAUAGAACACAAAGUUUUCUUUAAUGGAAGCUUUUCUGAUACAAAACAUUUAGAGUGGAGAGAAAGA
Sander lucioperca (pikeperch) is the source of this 337-nucleotide long non-coding RNA. RefSeq lists it as uncharacterized. The record is from RefSeq and is a predicted model, not a curated record. The transcript is spliced from 3 exons. Lineage: Eukaryota; Metazoa; Chordata; Actinopteri; Perciformes; Percidae.